AGAGUUUGAUCCUGGCUCAGAACGAACGCUGGCGGCGUGGCUAAGACAUGCAAGUCGAACGGAUUAUCCAAUUGAGUAAUCAAGAGGAUGGUUAGUGGCGGAAGGAUGAGUAAUGCAUAGAUAACGUACCCUGGUCUCCGGGAUAGCUGCGGUCGAAAGACCUUUAGCGAAAGUGCAGGUAAUACCGGAUAAAAUCCUUAGGUCGCAUGGCCUGAGGAUCAAAGGAUUUUCGGACCUGGUCUGGGAGCGGUUUAUGUCGUAUCUGCUAGUUGGUGAGAUAACGGCUCACCAAGGCUUUGACGCGUAGCGGGACUGAGAGGUCGGCCCGCCAUAUCGGGACUGAGACACUGCCCGGACCUCCACGGAGGGCUGCAGUAACGAAUAUUGCGCAAUGGGCGAAAGCCUGACGCAGCGACGCCGCGUGUAGGAUGAAGUCCCUCGGGAUGUAAACUACUGUCAGAGUGAAGAAAGACGAAAGUUUGAUCGAUCUCAAAGGAAGGCCCGGCUAACUUCGUGCCAGCAGCCGCGGUAAUACGAAGGGGCCUAGCGUUGUUCGGAAUUACUGGGCUUAAAGCGCACGUAGGCGGAAAGUUAAGUGCUUUGUGAAAUCCCCCGUCUCAACCGGGGAAUUGCAGGGCAUACUGGCUUUCUUGAGGCAAGUAGGGGUGCAUGGAACUCUAGGUGGAGCGGUGAAAUGCGUAGAUAUCUAGAGGAACGCCAGCGGAGAAAUCGGUGCACUGGGCUUGUUCUGACGCUGAGGUGCGAAAGCGUGGGGAGCGAACGGGAUUAGAUACCCCGGUAGUCCACGCUGUAAACGAUGUCUACUAGAUCGUGGAAGUUCUGACACUUUCGCGGUCGAAGCAAAAGUGUUAAGUAGACCGCCUGGGGAGUACGGUCGCAAGGCUAAAACUCAAAGGAAUUGACGGGGGCUCACACAAGCGGUGGAGCAUGUGGCUUAAUUCGAAGCAACGCGAAGAACCUUAUCCAAGGCUUGACAUAUUCGGAUGCCUGCCCUGAAAGGGUGCAGGUUGCCUUCGGGUGAAACUUAUACAGGUGCUGCAUGGCUGUCGUCAGCUCGUGUCGUGAGAUGUCGGGUUAAGUCCUAUAACGAGCGAAACCCCUAUCGUUAGUUGCCAGCGGGUCAUGCCGGGGACUCUAACGAGACCGCCGGUGUUAAACCGGAGGAAGGCGGGGAUGACGUCAAGUCCUCAUGGCCUUUAUGCCUUGGGCUGCACACGUGCUACAAUGGCGUGCACAAAACGAUGCGAUACCGUGAGGUGGAGCAAAUCGUAAAAAACACGCCCCAGUUCGGAUUGUAGGCUGCAACUCGCCUACAUGAAGUUGGAAUCGCUAGUAAUCGCAGAUCAGCUAUGCUGCGGUGAAUGUGUUCCUGAGCCUUGUACACACCGCCCGUCAAGUCAUGGGAGCCGGGAGUACCUGAAGUCGGGUAGCUAACUCGCAAGAGAGGCGCCUGCCGAUGGUAAGCUCGGUGACUGGGGCUAAGUCGUAACAAGGUAAC
RNAcentral lists this ribosomal RNA (1519 nucleotides) under uncultured bacterium. RNAcentral describes it as "bacterial SSU rRNA". It matches the Rfam family "Bacterial small subunit ribosomal RNA". The record is from RNAcentral.